Molecule: non-coding RNA, 85 nt
Organism: Anaeramoeba ignava
Lineage: Eukaryota; Anaeramoebidae
Source: the annotation of a GenBank genome assembly
GACAGUAUGGCCGAGUGGUCUAAGGCGUUAGAUUUAAGCUCUAAUGGACAUGAAGUCCGCGUGGGUUCAAAUCCCACUGCUGUCA